RNAcentral lists this ribosomal RNA (508 nucleotides) under uncultured bacterium. RNAcentral describes it as "partial 16S ribosomal RNA". It matches the Rfam family "Bacterial small subunit ribosomal RNA", at positions 28 to 507 of the family's 1533-position model. The record is from RNAcentral.
GACGAACGCUGGCGGCGUGCCUAAUACAUGCAAGUCGAGCGCAGGAACUCAUCCGUUCCCUUCGGGGGGACGUUGACGGACUGAGCAGCAAACCGGUGAUUAACUCCUUAAGAGCCUGCCCUCACGUCUGGGAUCACCACCUGAAACCGGAGCUAAUACCGAAUCGCUCGUCGCACCACAUGGUCCGGGGUUGGCUGUCGCUCCUGCGUCGCCUCGGGCUGCCUUUGCGCUGCAUUAGCUAGUUGGUUUGGUAAUGGCCCACCAAGGCGACGAUGCAUAGCCGACCUGAGAGGGUGAUCGGCCACACUGGGACUGAGACACGGCCCAGACUCCUACGGGAGGCAGCAGUAGGGAAUCUUCCACAAUGGACGAAAGCCUGACGGGGCAACGCCGCGUGAGUGAUGAAGGCCCUCGGAUCGUAAAGUUCUGUUGUAAGGGAAGAACAAGUGUCGAAGGCAAUGGGGGCGUCUUGACGGUACCUUGCGAGAAAGCCACGGCUAACUACGUG